CAGCCGCCGCGGGAAUACGAAGGGUGCAAGCGUUACUCGGAAUUACUGGGCGUAAAGCGUGCGUAGGUGGUGGUUUAAGUCCGUUGUGAAAGCCCUGGGCUCAACCUGGGAAUUGCAGUGGAUACUGGGUCACUAGAGUGUGGUAGAGGAUAGUGGAAUUUCCGGUGUAGCAGUGAAAUGCGCAGAGAUCGGAAGGAACAUCUGUGGCGAAGGCGACUAUCUGGGCCAACACUGACACUGAGGCACGAAAGCGUGGGGAGCAAACAGGAUUAGAUACCCCAGUAGUCCCUGUCUCUUAUAC
This 301-nucleotide ribosomal RNA is filed under the name uncultured bacterium. Its description in RNAcentral is "partial 16S ribosomal RNA". It matches the Rfam family "Bacterial small subunit ribosomal RNA", at positions 509 to 807 of the family's 1533-position model. The record is from RNAcentral.